ACAUGCAAGUCGAACGAAGUAGUAAUACUUAGUGGCAGACGGGUGAGUAACAUGUAGGUAUCUGCCCUUUGGCCUGGAAUAACACGAGGAAACUUGUGCUAAUACCGGAUAAGUCUUUACGGAGAAAGCUUUAUGCACCAUUGGAUGAGCCUGCACUUGAUUAGUUUGUUGGUGGGGUAAUGGCCUACCAAGACUGUGAUCAAUAGCUGAUUUGAGAGGAUGAUCAGCCACAUUGGGACUGAGACACGGCCCAAACUCCUACGGGAGGCAGCAGUAGGGAAUCUUGCACAAUGGAGGAAACUCUGAUGCAGCGAUGCCGCGUGAGUGAAGAAGGCCCUUGGGUUGUAAAGCUCUUUCGUCGGGGAAGAAAAUGACUGUACCCGAAUAAGAAGGUCCGGCUAACUUCGUGCCAGCAGCCGCGGUAAUACGAAGGGACCUAGCGUAGUUCGGAAUUACUGGGCUUAAAGAGUUCGUAGGUGGUUGAAAAAGUUGGUGGUGAAAUCCCAGAGCUUAACUCUGGAACUGCCAUCAAAACUUUUCAGCUAGAGUUUGAUAGAGGAAAGCAGAAUUUCUAGUGUAGAGGUGAAAUUCGUAGAUAUUAGAAAGAAUACCAAUUGCGAAGGCAGCUUUCUGGAUCAUUACUGACACUGAGGAACGAAAGCAUGGGUAGCGAAGAGGAUUAGAUACCCUCGUAGUCCAUGCCGUAAACGAUGUGUGUUAGACGUUGGGAAAUUAUUUUCAGUGUCGCAGCGAAAGCGAUAAACACACCGCCUGGGGAGUACGACCGCAAGGUUAAAACUCAAAUGAAUUGACGGGGACCCGCACAAGUAGUGGAGCAUGUGGUUUAAUUCGAAGAUACGCGCAGAACCUUACCAACACUUGACAUGUUCGUCGCGACUUUAAGAGAUUAAAGUUUUCGGUUCGGCCGGACGAAACACAGUGCUGCAUGGCUGUCGUCAGCUCGUGUCGUGAGAUGUUGGGUUAAGUCCCGCAACGAGCGCGACCCUCACUUUUAGUUG
RNAcentral lists this ribosomal RNA (1019 nucleotides) under uncultured marine bacterium. RNAcentral's name for it is "bacterial SSU rRNA". It matches the Rfam family "Bacterial small subunit ribosomal RNA", at positions 53 to 1117 of the family's 1533-position model. The record is from RNAcentral.